GUGAAUCAUCAAAUCUUUGAACGCAAAUUGCACUUUCUGGUAUGCCGGAAAGUAUGCCUGGGUGAGGGUCAGUUAAAUAAAAAUCGUUGUUUUUGCUGCCUUUCGUGGUGACGCGUCGAAAUUGGGUCGUCUUACCUUCGGAUAGGUGACUUAAAAUUUUUUCAUGAUAUUCGAACGGAUUUCAAUCUCUUACGUACGUUUGAGAUAUCGAAUGCUUAUUAUGUUCGUUCAUUCCCAUAAUUCGCGCCGAUAAUUGUUCAUUAAAUGACCUCAAAUCAGGUGA
This 283-nucleotide unclassified non-coding RNA is filed under the name Glomus sp. Its description in RNAcentral is "partial contains 5.8S ribosomal RNA and internal transcribed spacer 2". The stretch from base 1 to 71 matches the Rfam family "5.8S ribosomal RNA", at positions 84 to 154 of the family's 154-position model. Lineage: Eukaryota; Fungi; Glomeromycota; Glomeromycetes; Glomerales; Glomeraceae. The record is from RNAcentral.